RNAcentral lists this ribosomal RNA (253 nucleotides) under uncultured bacterium. RNAcentral's name for it is "partial 16S ribosomal RNA". It matches the Rfam family "Bacterial small subunit ribosomal RNA", at positions 524 to 776 of the family's 1533-position model. The record is from RNAcentral.
GACAGAGGGUGCAAACGUUGUUCGGAAUUACUGGGCUUAAAGAGUUCGUAGGCGGCAUGAAAAGUAGGGUGUGAAAGCCCUCGGCUCAACCGAGGAAUUGCGCUCUAAACUGUCGUGCUCGAGGAAUCUAGAGGUGAGCGGAACUGAUGGUGGAGCGGUGAAAUGCGUUGAUAUCAUCAGGAACACCGGAGGCGAAGGCGGCUCACUGGGGAUUUUCUGACGCUGAGGAACGAAAGCCAGGGGAGCGAACGGG